This 498-nucleotide ribosomal RNA is filed under the name uncultured bacterium. Its description in RNAcentral is "bacterial SSU rRNA". It matches the Rfam family "Bacterial small subunit ribosomal RNA", at positions 9 to 507 of the family's 1533-position model. The record is from RNAcentral.
GAGUUUUGAUCCUGGCUCAGGAUGAACGCUAGCGGAGGCCUAACACAUGCAAGCCGAGCGGUAUUUCUUCUUCGGAAGAGGGAGAGCGGCGUACGGGUGCGGGAAACACGUGUGCAACCUGCCUUUAUCUGGGGAUAGCCUUUCGAAAGGAAGAUUAAUACCCCAUAAUAUAUUUGAUGGCAUCAUUAGAUAUUGAAAACUCCGGUGGAUAGAGAUGGGCACGCGCAAGAUUAGAUAGUUGGUGGGGUAACGGCCCACCAAGUCGAUGAUCUUUAGGGGCCUGAGAGGGUGAUCCCCCACACUGGUACUGAGACACGGACCAGACUCCUACGGGAGGCAGCAGUGAGGAAUAUUGGACAAUGGGUGAGAGCCUGAUCCAGCCAUCCCGCGUGAAGGAAUAAGGUCCUAUGGAUUGUAAACUUCUUUUCUACAGGGAUAAACCUAUUUACGUGUAAAUAGCUGAAGGUACUGUAGGAAUAAGCACCGGCUAACUCCGUG